Molecule: ribosomal RNA, 554 nt
Filed under: uncultured bacterium
Lineage: Bacteria
Description: bacterial SSU rRNA
Rfam family: Bacterial small subunit ribosomal RNA
Source: RNAcentral
CUUACACAUGCAAGUCGAACGGCAGCACGGGAGCAUCCUGGUGGCGAGUGGCGAACGGGUGAGUAAUAUAUCGGAACGUGCCCAGUCGUGGGGGAUAACGCAGCGAAAGCUGUGCUAAUACCGCAUACGAUCUACGGAUGAAAGCGGGGGAUCGCAAGACCUCGCGCGAUUGGAGCGGCCGAUAUCAGAUUAGCUAGUUGGUGGGGUAAAAGCCCACCAAGGCGACGAUCUGUAGCUGGUCUGAGAGGACGACCAGCCACACUGGAACUGAGACACGGUCCAGACUCCUACGGGAGGCAGCAGUGGGGAAUUUUGGACAAUGGGCGCAAGCCUGAUCCAGCAAUGCCGCGUGCAGGAUGAAGGCCUUCGGGUUGUAAACUGCUUUUGUACGGAGCGAAACGGCCUACCCUAAUACGGUGGGCUAAUGACGGUACCGUAAGAAUAAGCACCGGCUAACUACGUGCCAGCAGCCGCGGUAAUACGUAGGGUGCAAGCGUUAAUCGGAAUUACUGGGCGUAAAGCGUGCGCAGGCGGUUAUAUAAGACAGAUGUGAA